RNAcentral lists this transfer RNA (69 nucleotides) under Paroedura picta. Its description in RNAcentral is "tRNA-Thr". The record is from RNAcentral. Lineage: Eukaryota; Metazoa; Chordata; Lepidosauria; Squamata; Gekkonidae.
GUCCCGCAUAGCUUAAUUACCUAAAGCACCGGUUUUGUAACCCGGAGAUGGAGCUCGCUCCUCAGGACA